GAUGAACGCUGGCGGCGUGCCUAAUACAUGCAAGUCGAGCGAACGGACGAGAAGCUUGCUUCUCUGAUGUUAGCGGCGGACGGGUGAGUAACACGUGGAUAACCUACCUAUAAGACUGGGAUAACUUCGGGAAACCGGAGCUAAUACCGGAUAAUAUUUUGAACCGCAUGGUUCAAAAGUAAAAGACGGUCUUGCUGUCACUUAUAGAUGGAUCCGCGCUGCAUUAGCUAGUUGGUAAGGUAACGGCCUACCAAGGCAACGAUGCAUAGCCGACCUGAGAGGGUGAUCGGCCACACUGGAACUGAGACACGGUCCAGACUCCUACGGGAGGCAGCAGUAGGGAAUCUUCCGCAAUGGGCGAAAGCCUGACGGAGCAACGCCGCGUGAGUGAUGAAGGUCUUCGGAUCGUAAAACUCUGUUAUUAGGGAAGAAUAUAUGUGUAAGUAACUGUGCACAUCUUGACGGUACCUAAUCAGAAAGCCACGGCUAACUACGUGCCAGCAGCCGCGGUAAUACGUAGGUGGCAAGCGUUAUCCGGAAUUAUUGGGCGUAAAGCGCGCGUAGGCGGUUUUUUAAGUCUGAUGUGAAAGCCCACGGCUCAACCGUGGAGGGUCAUUGGAAACUGGAAAACUUGAGUGCAGAAGAGGAAAGUGGAAUUCCAUGUGUAGCGGUGAAAUGCGCAGAGAUAUGGAGGAACACCAGUGGCGAAGGCGACUUUCUGGUCUGUAACUGACGCUGAUGUGCGAAAGCGUGGGGAUCAAACAGGAUUAGAUACCCUGGUAGUCCACGCCGUAAACGAUGAGUGCUAAGUGUUAGGGGGUUUCCGCCCCUUAGUGCUGCAGCUAACGCAUUAAGCACUCCGCCUGGGGAGUACGACCGCAAGGUUGAAACUCAAAGGAAUUGACGGGGACCCGCACAAGCGGUGGAGCAUGUGGUUUAAUUCGAAGCAACGCGAAGAACCUUACCAAAUCUUGACAUCCUUUGACAACUCUAGAGAUAGAGCCUUCCCCUUCGGGGGACAAAGUGACAGGUGGUGCAUGGUUGUCGUCAGCUCGUGUCGUGAGAUGUUGGGUUAAGUCCCGCAACGAGCGCAACCCUUAAGCUUAGUUGCCAUCAUUAAGUUGGGCACUCUAAGUUGACUGCCGGUGACAAACCGGAGGAAGGUGGGGAUGACGUCAAAUCAUCAUGCCCCUUAUGAUUUGGGCUACACACGUGCUACAAUGGACAAUACAAAGGGCAGCGAAACCGCGAGGUCAAGCAAAUCCCAUAAAGUUGUUCUCAGUUCGGAUUGUAGUCUGCAACUCGACUACAUGAAGCUGGAAUCGCUAGUAAUCGUAGAUCAGCAUGCUACGGUGAAUACGUUCCCGGGUCU
This 1372-nucleotide ribosomal RNA is filed under the name uncultured bacterium. RNAcentral describes it as "bacterial SSU rRNA". It matches the Rfam family "Bacterial small subunit ribosomal RNA", at positions 28 to 1381 of the family's 1533-position model. The record is from RNAcentral.